Molecule: ribosomal RNA, 712 nt
Filed under: Pseudomonas putida
Lineage: Bacteria; Pseudomonadati; Pseudomonadota; Gammaproteobacteria; Pseudomonadales; Pseudomonadaceae
Description: bacterial SSU rRNA
Rfam family: Bacterial small subunit ribosomal RNA
Source: RNAcentral
UGCAGUCGAGCGGAUGACGGGAGCUUGCUCCUUGAUUCAGCGGCGGACGGGUGAGUAAUGCCUAGGAAUCUGCCUGGUAGUGGGGGACAACGUUUCGAAAGGAACGCUAAUACCGCAUACGUCCUACGGGAGAAAGCAGGGGACCUUCGGGCCUUGCGCUAUCAGAUGAGCCUAGGUCGGAUUAGCUAGUAGGUGAGGUAAUGGCUCACCUAGGCGACGAUCCGUAACUGGUCUGAGAGGAUGAUCAGUCACACUGGAACUGAGACACGGUCCAGACUCCUACGGGAGGCAGCAGUGGGGAAUAUUGGACAAUGGGCGAAAGCCUGAUCCAGCCAUGCCGCGUGUGUGAAGAAGGUCUUCGGAUUGUAAAGCACUUUAAGUUGGGAGGAAGGGCAGUAAGCUAAUACCUUGCUGUUUUGACGUUACCGACAGAAUAAGCACCGGCUAACUCUGUGCCAGCAGCCGCGGUAAUACAGAGGGUGCAAGCGUUAAUCGGAAUUACUGGGCGUAAAGCGCGCGUAGGUGGUUCGUUAAGUUGGAUGUGAUAGCCCCGGGCUCAACCUGGGAACUGCAUCCAAAACUGGCGAGCUAGAGUAUGGUAGAGGGUGGUGGAAUUUCCUGUGUAGCGGUGAAAUGCGUAGAUAUAGGAAGGAACACCAGUGGCGAAGGCGACCACCUGGACUGAUACUGACACUGAGGUGCGAAAGCGUGG